This 506-nucleotide ribosomal RNA is filed under the name uncultured bacterium. Its description in RNAcentral is "bacterial SSU rRNA". It matches the Rfam family "Bacterial small subunit ribosomal RNA", at positions 8 to 524 of the family's 1533-position model. The record is from RNAcentral.
AGAGUUUGAUCCUGGCUCAGGAUGAACGCUAGCGGCAGGCCUAAUACAUGCAAGUCGAACGGUGUAGCAAUACAUAGUGGCGCACGGGUGCGUAACACGUAUGCAACCUACCUUAUACUUAGGGAUAGCCUUUGGAAACGGAGAUUAAUACCUAAUGGUAUAUUUAGCUGGCAUCGGUUAGAUAUUAAAGAUUUAUUGGUAUAAGAUGGGCAUGCGUCCAAUUAGUUAGUUGGUGAGGUAAUGGCUCACCAAGACGAUGAUUGGUAGGGGAACUGAGAGGUUAAUCCCCCACACUGGCACUGAGAUACGGGCCAGACUCCUACGGGAGGCAGCAGUAGGGAAUAUUGGGCAAUGGAGGGAACUCUGACCCAGCCAUGCCGCGUGCAGGAUGAAGGCGUUAUGCGUUGUAAACUGCUUUUAUAUAGGAAGAAACAGACCUUGCGAGGUAGAUUGACGGUACUAUAUGAAUAAGCACCGGCUAACUCCGUGCCAGCAGCCGCGGUAAU